AAGGCUUUAACUGAUCUCACACCUUAUAGAUGAAAAUUUUGCUCCAGAAGGGUUUAAGAGAGGCAUGAGUACGCCAAGUCCUUCUCUUCCUUGAGCUCCUCUGCAGUCAAAUCCAUCUUCUUCCUUGAUACUUCAUCAAUCGGAA
This 145-nucleotide small RNA is filed under the name Arabidopsis thaliana (thale cress). RNAcentral's name for it is "ATSL002520". The record is from RNAcentral. Lineage: Eukaryota; Viridiplantae; Streptophyta; Magnoliopsida; Brassicales; Brassicaceae.